Molecule: ribosomal RNA, 2146 nt
Filed under: Salmonella enterica subsp. enterica serovar Enteritidis
Lineage: Bacteria; Pseudomonadati; Pseudomonadota; Gammaproteobacteria; Enterobacterales; Enterobacteriaceae
Description: partial 23S ribosomal RNA
Rfam family: Bacterial large subunit ribosomal RNA
Source: RNAcentral
AACCGAGUCUUAACCGGGCGUUAAGUUGCAGGGUAUAGACCCGAAACCCGGUGAUCUAGCCAUGGGCAGGUUGAAGGUUGGGUAACACUAACUGGAGGACCGAACCGACUAAUGUUGAAAAAUUAGCGGAUGACCUGUGGCUGGGGGUGAAAGGCCAAUCAAACCGGGAGAUAGCUGGUUCUCCCCGAAAGCUAUUUAGGUAGCGCCUCGUGAAUUCAUCUCCGGGGGUAGAGCACUGUUUCGGCUAGGGGGCCAUCCCGGCUUACCAACCCGAUGCAAACUGCGAAUACCGGAGAAUGUUAUCACGGGAGACACACGGCGGGUGCUAACGUCCGUCGUGAAGAGGGAAACAACCCAGACCGCCAGCUAAGGUCCCAAAGUCAUGGUUAAGUGGGAAACGAUGUGGGAAGGCCCAGACAGCCAGGAUGUUGGCUUAGAAGCAGCCAUCAUUUAAAGAAAGCGUAAUAGCUCACUGGUCGAGUCGGCCUGCGCGGAAGAUGUAACGGGGCUAAACCAUGCACCGAAGCUGCGGCAGCGACACUGUGUGUUGUUGGGUAGGGGAGCGUUCUGUAAGCCUGCGAAGGUGGCCUGUGAGGGUUGCUGGAGGUAUCAGAAGUGCGAAUGCUGACAUAAGUAACGAUAAAGCGGGUGAAAAGCCCGCUCGCCGGAAGACCAAGGGUUCCUGUCCAACGUUAAUCGGGGCAGGGUGAGUCGACCCCUAAGGCGAGGCCGAAAGGCGUAGUCGAUGGGAAACGGGUUAAUAUUCCCGUACUUGGUGUUACUGCGAAGGGGGGACGGAGAAGGCUAUGUUGGCCGGGCGACGGUUGUCCCGGUUUAAGCGUGUAGGUGUGUGUUCCAGGUAAAUCCGGUUCACUUUAACACUGAGGCGUGACGACGAGGCACUACGGUGCUGAAGCAACAAAUGCCCUGCUUCCAGGAAAAGCCUCUAAGCAUCAGGUAACAUCAAAUCGUACCCCAAACCGACACAGGUGGUCAGGUAGAGAAUACCAAGGCGCUUGAGAGAACUCGGGUGAAGGAACUAGGCAAAAUGGUGCCGUAACUUCGGGAGAAGGCACGCUGACACGUAGGUGAAGUGAUUUACUCAUGGAGCUGAAGUCAGUCGAAGAUACCAGCUGGCUGCAACUGUUUAUUAAAAACACAGCACUGUGCAAACACGAAAGUGGACGUAUACGGUGUGACGCCUGCCCGGUGCCGGAAGGUUAAUUGAUGGGGUCAGCGCAAGCGAAGCUCCUGAUCGAAGCCCCGGUAAACGGCGGCCGUAACUAUAACGGUCCUAAGGUAGCGAAAUUCCUUGUCGGGUAAGUUCCGACCUGCACGAAUGGCGUAAUGAUGGCCAGGCUGUCUCCACCCGAGACUCAGUGAAAUUGAACUCGCUGUGAAGAUGCAGUGUACCCGCGGCAAGACGGAAAGACCCCGUGAACCUUUACUAUAGCUUGACACUGAACAUUGAGCCUUGAUGUGUAGGAUAGGUGGGAGGCUUUGAAGUGUGGACGCCAGUCUGCAUGGAGCCGACCUUGAAAUACCACCCUUUAAUGUUUGAUGUUCUAACGUGGACCCGUUACCCGGGUUGCGGACAGUGUCUGGUGGGUAGUUUGACUGGGGCGGUCUCCUCCUAAAGAGUAACGGAGGAGCACGAAGGUUGGCUAAUCCUGGUCGGACAUCAGGAGGUUAGUGCAAUGGCAUAAGCCAGCUUGACUGCGAGCGUGACGGCGCGAGCAGGUGCGAAAGCAGGUCAUAGUGAUCCGGUGGUUCUGAAUGGAAGGGCCAUCGCUCAACGGAUAAAAGGUACUCCGGGGAUAACAGGCUGAUACCGCCCAAGAGUUCAUAUCGACGGCGGUGUUUGGCACCUCGAUGUCGGCUCAUCACAUCCUGGGGCUGAAGUAGGUCCCAAGGGUAUGGCUGUUCGCCAUUUAAAGUGGUACGCGAGCUGGGUUUAGAACGUCGUGAGACAGUUCGGUCCCUAUCUGCCGUGGGCGCUGGAGAACUGAGGGGGGCUGCUCCUAGUACGAGAGGACCGGAGUGGACGCAUCACUGGUGUUCGGGUUGUCAUGCCAAUGGCACUGCCCGGUAGCUAAAUGCGGAAGAGAUAAGUGCUGAAAGCAUCUAAGCACGAAACUUGCCCCGA